AAAAAAGGAGUGGGACAGACAGGGCUGAGCGCGCCGAGGAAGGAGGCGCCAAAAAAUGGGCAAUUAAGAACAUUCAAUUACUGGAAGAAACAUUGACUAUUUCAGGGAGAGCUGCUGGGAUCCUCCAUAGGAAAUUAGCUGGAGCAGCGUCUGUCCGUCGGCUGCACUGAGGGCCGAUUCCUUGUCUUCC
Molecule: non-coding RNA, 190 nt
Organism: Miniopterus natalensis
Lineage: Eukaryota; Metazoa; Chordata; Mammalia; Chiroptera; Miniopteridae
Source: RefSeq, a predicted model, not a curated record